ACCCCCAUCUCUUUCAUACAUUCAUCUUCUCCAACUACAAGUCCAUUUCCAAGCUUGAAGAUCAUUCGUAGAAGUUGCAAGUUGAAGGGCUCUCAAGAAAGCUUUGUUCAAGUCUUUAUCACCAUCUUUUCUCUUCAUCUUUGCACUAGAUUCAUCCCUAGCUUUAAGCUAGUAAUGGUCACUGUUGUCAUGAUGAUCCUCCAACUGGAAUUUCGUCAAUCGGACUUACGGUAGUCGUGUUUGCUGAGGAGAUUUGG
Molecule: long non-coding RNA, 257 nt
Filed under: Helianthus annuus (common sunflower)
Lineage: Eukaryota; Viridiplantae; Streptophyta; Magnoliopsida; Asterales; Asteraceae
Description: hypothetical non coding rna
Source: RNAcentral